UAAUACAACGCCCAAGCCAUAGUUCCA
RNAcentral lists this non-coding RNA (27 nucleotides) under Mus musculus (house mouse). Lineage: Eukaryota; Metazoa; Chordata; Mammalia; Rodentia; Muridae. The record is from RNAcentral.